UACGUAGGGUGCGAGCGUUGUCCGGAAUUAUUGGGCGUAAAGAGCUCGUAGGCGGCCGGUUGCGUCUGCUGUGAAAUCCCGGGGCUUAACCCCGGGCGUGCAGUGGAUACGGGCUGGCUGGAGGCAGGCAGGGGAGAAUGGAAUUCCCGGUGUAGCGGUGAAAUGCGUAGAUAUCGUAAGGAAGACCAGUGGCGAAGGCGGGUCUCUGGACAGUUCCUGACGCUGAGGCACGAAGGACAGGGGAGCAAACGGG
Molecule: ribosomal RNA, 253 nt
Filed under: uncultured bacterium
Lineage: Bacteria
Description: partial 16S ribosomal RNA
Rfam family: Bacterial small subunit ribosomal RNA
Source: RNAcentral